This is a long non-coding RNA of Oncorhynchus kisutch (coho salmon), 1492 nucleotides long. RefSeq lists it as uncharacterized. The record is from RefSeq and is a predicted model, not a curated record. The transcript is spliced from 4 exons. NCBI's taxonomy places the organism in Eukaryota, Metazoa, Chordata, Actinopteri, Salmoniformes, Salmonidae.
CGUAUUUUUGCUGACAAAUGCCAUAUUCAAUGGGUGUUAGCGCUCGUAAAUUCAUUAUUCUGUGCUCUUGUACACUCAGAGGAGAGUGCUCUGAAAUCGGAGUAGAUAGCCAGAGUGAAUUUACGAAAGUACCCGAAUGUCCAUUGAGAACCCACAACGACAAUACCAUUUAGCUAAGAGUGACGGGAAUAAUCAAGUCAAUAAAUGUUGGUUAGCCUAUAGUUAAUAUACUGGCAAGUUUGAUGUAUAACUAACAUACGGGUACAUAAUGUUACUGGUGUAAUGAUAUGCUAUGUGAUUCGUAAGGACAGCAUAGCUAAAGAAUUGUCAGGCUACAUAACGUGUAAGGUCAUUUAUUUGAAAAGUCAUUACAUUGUUCAACAUUUUCUUAACAUUUGUCAUAAUUAGCAAUGCAUUUGUAUCUGCUCUCGUACAUCGGCUGCAUAUUUUCCGCCAUUUUCUUCAAAUCUGAAAGCAAUGUGAGGCCACGCCCAUCUUCUGAAGAAUUGCAUUAUGGUCCCUAAAGUACGGAAAUAGUGUCUUCUGCGUGUAUAUUUCAUAUUUUUGCAAAUUUAGUACGACAUCCGGGAACUUUUGGCAUACUAACUAUAUCCAUACUAUGACCAAUAAGCAUACUAUAUUGCGGUUAGUAUGAGUAUUCAAACACAGCUAUUGUCCUUAUCCAUACCAUAGCUGCUGCUAUGGAUAUGCCUUUUACUUGAGAGCUCUGUCUUCUUUUCCAGGUCUCCCUUGACAAAAUGAGGUUAUUUUUUGACUUGGUAAAAUAAUCUAACGGUUGUGUGCACUCUCGCUAGAUAGAAUUGUGUGGUUUGGUGGCAGAUUUUUUAAAGAAAAUAGAAAUAUACAGUAUAUCAUCAGCACAUCUCAAUCAGAUGAGAUACACAGCUAACCCAAAUUGAAUUUCAUUCAUUCAUAAAUGUGGACACUAAUUAUUGUUAAUAUUACAAUUCUCUAGGCCCUUCAUUCCAAAACCUGAUGCCCAGGAAAGACCAGGAAAAAGUGUUGGCUUAAGGCUCGGUGGGUGACCGGUAACAAUGAUUCAACCAAGCUGUUCCAGGCCUGGAGUGGCACGCUGGAACUUCCAGAGGCUUGUAGACCUGAAGCAGUGUGAUGUGAUCCAGAUCUGACAUCCCUAUUAGCUCAACCACAGUCCUCACAGCUGAAGUCGUCUGCCCCUGCACCUGCUACACCAGCCACGAUAGGUGAUACAGAUUUAUUGUUUGCAUGCCAAUGGUGGUUCCAUGUGCUGUGCCUAGGAAUGAAGACAAAAGAGUGAUGAACACAAACUGGAAGUGCUGUCUGUUGUUGAAAAUGUAUGCUAUACCCCAUCCACAAUAUACCCUAUCCACACUGAAGAGGCUCUGACAUGUAGAUAAACCAGGGAUAAAGAGAGAAAAUUAACACAAAUGUUUUGUACUUAUUUGAAGUAAAGUGUCUGUUGACAUGUUGGAAAAGAUUAAAGGUCUACAAU